GCAGCGGUGGUUCAGUGGUAGAAUUCUCGCCUUCCAUGCAGGAGACCUGGGUUCAAUUCCUGGCCAGUGAA
This 71-nucleotide transfer RNA is filed under the name Loxodonta africana (African savanna elephant). It matches the Rfam family "tRNA". From Rfam's summary of the family: Transfer RNA (tRNA) molecules are approximately 80 nucleotides in length. Lineage: Eukaryota; Metazoa; Chordata; Mammalia; Proboscidea; Elephantidae. The record is from Rfam by way of RNAcentral.